GAAGGAAAUUAAGUACGGAAGUUCCUGAUUUCACGCUGUCAAGAAAAGCCUCUAGGAAGAGUAGUACUGCCCGUACCGCAAACCGACACAGGUAGAUGAGGAGAGAAUCCUAAGGUGAGCGAGAGAACUCUCGUUAAGGAACUCGGCAAAAUGACCCCGUAACUUCGGGAGAAGGGGUGCUCUAUUAGGGUGCAAGCCCGAGAGAGCCGCAGUGAAUAGGCCCAGGCGACUGUUUAGCAAAAACACAGGUCUCUGCAAAACCGUAAGGUGACGUAUAGGGGCUGACGCCUGCCCGGUGCUGGAAGGUUAAGAGGAGUGCUUAGCUUCGGCGAAGGUACGAAUUGAAGCCCCAGUAAACGGCGGCCGUAACUAUAACGGUCCUAAGGUAGCGAAAUUCCUUGUCGGGUAAGUUCCGACCCGCACGAAAGGCGCAACGAUCUGGGCACUGUCUCAACGAGAGACUCGGUGAAAUUAUAGUACCUGUGAAGAUGCAGGUUACCCGCGACAGGACGGAAAGACCCCGUGGAGCUUUACUGCAACCUGAUAUGGAAUGUUUGUACCGCUUGUACAGGAUAGGUAGGAG
This 583-nucleotide ribosomal RNA is filed under the name Listeria monocytogenes. RNAcentral's name for it is "partial 23S ribosomal RNA". It matches the Rfam family "Bacterial large subunit ribosomal RNA", at positions 1570 to 2153 of the family's 2925-position model. Lineage: Bacteria; Bacillati; Bacillota; Bacilli; Caryophanales; Listeriaceae. The record is from RNAcentral.